This 713-nucleotide non-coding RNA is filed under the name Pongo abelii (Sumatran orangutan). The record is from RNAcentral. Lineage: Eukaryota; Metazoa; Chordata; Mammalia; Primates; Hominidae.
GCACAGCACACAUGCUGUUGUGAGAGUUCCGUGCUCAUUUCCUUGUGGAUACACCAGGAACUCACUCUGCUGUGACCCUUCAGUACACCUCAUGUUAGGAUUAGAGACAUCUGGGUCAUAUCAGCUGCCACUGUCAUCUUCUAGUCCCUCAAAGUGUCAGCUAAAGAAAUGGGCUCAGAGGAUGCUAUUUGAUUGGACUAUGUUGUAUCUCUGGAGAGCACAGCUGAGAUCAGACUGUGUGUGUAACUCCACUAGACUACGAGGGUGCUUCUGAUAAAGGUAAGAAAUGCAAAUUUGGCCUAAUAUACAAUGUUGCCUGGGGCAGCACUGGGUUGCUUCUACAGACACUUCUGUGUUAAUCAAGGGAAAUCUUAAGGGAAGGUGAAAAUGCUUCUAGAAGGCGACUGGACACCAACACCCUUGCUUGCUGCCUUUGGGCUCUUCCUCUAAGGCCAACAGUGACCUGAAAUUAUUGACUGGCUGGCAGUGCUAAUCAACUGGAGAAAAUGGUUCCAAGGUCAACAACAUCAGACAAAUUCAUUUUAGGACCUAUAUAUGUGCUUAGAAAGACAGAAGUGCUUUUGUAAAGGAUACUAUUUCAGAAAAACAUAAUCAUAGUAACAACUAAUGACGCUAUAAAAUGCUGAUGUGUUGAAUGCUACUUUAGAAAAACAUGUUCAAAUCUAGGAAAACAUUUGUGAUAGAAAACUAUC